Callithrix jacchus (white-tufted-ear marmoset) is the source of this 1421-nucleotide non-coding RNA. The record is from RefSeq and is a predicted model, not a curated record. Lineage: Eukaryota; Metazoa; Chordata; Mammalia; Primates; Cebidae.
AUGAAAAAGGGAAAUUUGGACACAGAAAACACACAGGAUGAAUGCCAGAUGGAAACAGAGGUAAGGGUGGUGCUUCUACAAGUUCAUGAGCAUAAUGACUGGGUGUUCAUGUGCAUGUGUGAGAUGUGCCACCCUCAAACCUUGUUACGACAUCAGCACAUUACCCGUACACAGCGGGGCACAGUGGUUGCAGAGCCUGAGCACACCAAAGAAUGCAUCGGAUUUCAAGGGUCAAAGUGCAAGGGGGCAGCUUUUGAUUUUGGGGGCAAUGAACUAGGACUUGAUGGGCCAAAAGGAAGUGUCUAAACAGCAAGCUGCUUACCGCAAUCUCCAUCAGAAUUUGUGGGGUGGAUAGCGGUCUGGGGUUUUGUGCUGCACACAGUACCCUCAUCACCAAACAAAGGAAGAUGUGGAGCUGGGGUCAGAAUGAGAAGGAGCAGCUGGGACCCGGCAACACCAAGAGAAUGGAGGCCCCCAGACUCACUGAGGAUCUCUACCAGGAAGUGAGUGUGUAGGCAGCCUGUGGGCGGAACCUCACCUUGGCCUUGAUGGAAACAGGCUCUGCGUUUGCAUUUGGGGAGAACAAGAUGGGGCAGCUGAGCCUCCGCAGCCACACAGAAGCAUCCCCAGCCCCAAGCAGAUCAUGGACAACGGGCAAUUACCAGAAUGGCCAGUAGAAAUGAAUUCAGUACAAUGGGCGGCAAAGAAAACCUACUCGAUAUGCUCAGCUUGGACCCAGGCACAGUGAAUAGUGUAAGACUGCAGGCUGGUGCCGGUGCCCUGGCGAGUUUCAUUCUGCACUGAGAGUGAAAGAUGGGCAGAUGCUGCCUGUACCAAAGGUGGUUGUUUGUGAUGUGGCCUGUGAUGCUAACCACACAUUGAUUCUGGACUCCGAGUCAUGAGUCUUCUCCUGGGGCUUUGGUGGCUAUGGUUGGCUGGGCCACUCAGAGCAGAAGGAUGAGAUGGUCCCCGCUUGGUAAAGUUGGAGUUUGACUUCCUUGGGUGUGAGGCCUCCCAGAUCCAUGUUGGUUACACCUGAUCCUUUGCUGUCUGUGAAAUUGGUGUCUCGUUUUCUGGGGAGCCCAAUAUCUCCCAUGAAUCCACCAUGUACCUGAAAGCAGUGCAGGACCUCUGUGGCUGGAAAAUCCUAAGCCUGGCUUAUCGGAAGAGCAGCAGCGUUGUGGCCGCCAAUGAAGGUACCAUCAGCUGGGUGCCAUCAUCAACCUUUAAGUAAUUGGGCUACAGGGGCCACGAGCCCAAGUCUUCCACUGCAGCCCGAGGUGAAGACUCUGGAUGGCAUCUCUUCAAAGCAGGUCGCCAUAGGCUACUCCUCGGUGAUAGCGAGGGAUGAAAGUGAGACCAAGAAAGAGAAGAUCAAGAAACUGCUAGACUACAGCCCCUGAACCCUGGGAUGCUCCUGA